This 449-nucleotide ribosomal RNA is filed under the name uncultured bacterium. RNAcentral describes it as "bacterial SSU rRNA". It matches the Rfam family "Bacterial small subunit ribosomal RNA", at positions 328 to 794 of the family's 1533-position model. The record is from RNAcentral.
GAUCCAGACUCCUACGGGAGGCAGCAGUGGGGGAUAUUGCACAAUGGGGGAAACCCUGAUGCAGCGACGCCGCGUGAGUGAAGAAGUAAUUCGUUACGUAAAGCUCUAUCAGCAGGGAAGAAAAUGACGGUACCUGACUAAGAAGCCCCGGCUAACUACGUGCCAGCAGCCGCGGUAAUACGUAGGGGGCAAGCGUUAUCCGGAUUUACUGGGUGUAAAGGGAGCGUAGACGGCAAGGCAAGUCAGAUGUGAAAGCCCGGGGCUCAACCCCGGGACUGCAUUUGAAACUGUUGGUCUUGAGUAUCGGAGAGGCAGGCGGAAUUCCUAGUGUAGCGGUGAAAUGCGUAGAUAUUAGGAGGAACACCAGUGGCGAAGGCGGCCUGCUGGACGACAACUGACGGUGAGGCGCGAAAGCGUGGGGAGCAAACAGGAUUAGAUACCCCAGUACU